UCGCGAAGCAAAACAAGGGAAGCGAGCAGUCGAAACCGGAGCAACAAGGUAAGCUAGAAGAGCCGCCCGGGAUGGC
Molecule: ribosomal RNA, 76 nt
Filed under: Paenibacillus sp. SPRY20R
Lineage: Bacteria; Bacillati; Bacillota; Bacilli; Caryophanales; Paenibacillaceae
Description: partial putative 23S ribosomal RNA
Source: RNAcentral